RNAcentral lists this ribosomal RNA (405 nucleotides) under Klebsiella pneumoniae. RNAcentral's name for it is "bacterial LSU rRNA". It matches the Rfam family "Bacterial large subunit ribosomal RNA", at positions 993 to 1401 of the family's 2925-position model. The record is from RNAcentral. Lineage: Bacteria; Pseudomonadati; Pseudomonadota; Gammaproteobacteria; Enterobacterales; Enterobacteriaceae.
GGGUGCUAACGUCCGUCGUGAAGAGGGAAACAACCCAGACCGCCAGCUAAGGUCCCAAAGUCAUGGUUAAGUGGGAAACGAUGUGGGAAGGCACAGACAGCCAGGAUGUUGGCUUAGAAGCAGCCAUCAUUUAAAGAAAGCGUAAUAGCUCACUGGUCGAGUCGGCCUGCGCGGAAGAUGUAACGGGGCUAAACCAUGCACCAGCUGCGGCAGCGACACUAUGUGUUGUUGGGUAGGGGAGCGUUCUGUAAGCCUGCGAAGGUGUGCUGUGAGGCAUGCUGGAGGUAUCAGAAGUGCGAAUGCUGACAUAAGUAACGAUAAAGCGGGUGAAAAGCCCGCUCGCCGGAAGACCAAGGGUUCCUGUCCAACGUAAUCGGGGCAGGGUGAGUCGACCCUAAGGCGAGG